CCACCGCGGUUAGACGAGAGGCCCCAGUUGAUAUUAUAACGGCGUAAAGGGUGGUUAAGGAUAAACAAAAAUAAAGCCAAAUGGCCCCUCGGCCGUCAUACGCUUCUAGGUGUCCGAAGCCCUAAUACGAAAGUAGCUUUAAUAAACCACCUGACCCCACGAAAGCUGAGGAACAAACUGGGAUUAGAUACCCCACUAUGCUCAGCCAUAAACCUAGACAUCUAACUACAAUCAGAUGUCCGCCAGGGUACUACGAGCAUUAGCUUAAAACCCAAAGGACCUGACGGUGUCUCAGACCCCCCUAGAGGAGCCUGUUCUAGAACCGAUAACCCCCGUUAAACCUCACCACUCCUAGCCACCCCAGCCUAUAUACCGCCGUCGUCAGCUUACCCUGUGAAGGACAUAAAAGUAAGCAAAAUGGGUACAACCCAGAACGUCAGGUCGAGGUGUAGCGCAUGAAGUGGAAAGAAAUGGGCUACAUUUUCUACCGCAGAAUAUUACGAACAUGCACCAUGAAAUAAUGCUUGAAGGAGGAUUUAGUAGUAAAAGGGAAACAGAGUGUCCCUUUGAACCCGGCUCUGAGACGCGUACACACCGCCCGUCACUCUCCCCUGUCAAAACGCACCAAGAAUACUUAAUACAAAAGCACUGACAAGGGGAGGCAAGUCGUAACACG
This 676-nucleotide ribosomal RNA is filed under the name Hypsibarbus malcolmi (goldfin tinfoil barb). Its description in RNAcentral is "partial 12S ribosomal RNA". It matches the Rfam family "Bacterial small subunit ribosomal RNA", at positions 512 to 1495 of the family's 1533-position model. Lineage: Eukaryota; Metazoa; Chordata; Actinopteri; Cypriniformes; Cyprinidae. The record is from RNAcentral.